UAUAUUGUACGGGCCCAAUUCUACCCUGACCUUAAACACAAAACACACAAUAAUAAACAAAAUUAAAACAAAAUCCGUAGCCCAAAUAAAAACACAACAGAGGCCCAAGAUGGCAAAACCCUAGCCCAAUUCAGCUCACAACCAGCAGCCUCAGUGUGCCGUACGUCUCCUCGUGCAUUUGCAGCGCACUCAACGGCCGAAGCACGACCAGUUUUGCACCAAAAAGGCUAGGUUUAUUCUUCCAAUACCCGUUGACUUCACCAGUACCUGCAAGCAAAGCAAAGAAAGGGGAACAACAGCAGCAACAGUAGCAAUAUUGGACAGAAAUGAUAAAAAUAAAAUAGGAAAUAGAUUUUUAGGAUUAUCUUUUGGCUAUAAAAGCCACCAAAAUCUGUAUUCAAAAAAAAAAAAGGGGAGCAGAUCAAAAAAAUUGAAAAGGUUGACUCCAAAUUUCUUUCGCUGUUCUUAAUAAUUUUUUUUAUAUAUUCUUCUAUUUUCUGUUUUUUUUACUACUCUUUGAAACUAAAAAAACAAAACGAAAAAGAAAGAAAAGGGACACUUACCGGUCUCGAAAGCCCGUCGCCGGAGACCAUCUUUGGUGUUGGAAUCGGACCGAGAAGGAGACGAAAGGUCUCUCCUUGUUUCGGCUUGUUUGGUCUGGAGGACCGGGCCUUAAGGUGGAGGUCGAGAACGGGGUUAAAAAGCCCUCCUUUUCUUGCUCCGACCACCACUCGUGAAGGAGCUUUGGCUUUUGGAACCGCCGCUUGCCGGCAUAGGCCAUGUUUGGCUGCUGGGAACCUUGAAAGGGAGAGGAUAGGUUCAGUUUUUUUCUUUAAAACACUGAUAAAAUGAAGUUAUAAUUUUUUUUUUGUUUUAAAUGGGGAUAAGUGAAACGGCGCCAUUUGGUGGGGGGAAUCUGUACAUGCUUUGCCUUAAUGGGUAAUUUAUGCAUUUAGUCCCUCCAUCUUGCGUGGAAGUGUAAUCCAACUUCCUAUUUCUUUUCGAUUUGGGCCGCAAACUUUAUUUCUGCUCCAAUCAGGUCCUUUGACCAUAUAUAGUCCUCUGUGCUGGAACAUUGCACUCUAGGACUGGGGUAUAUUGCCCAAUUAGUCCUUCUUUCUUUAAUGCUUUAGUUUUUUUAUUUACUUGUUAUUGUAUAUUCAUGAGUGAUUUGUUUUUUAUUUAUUAUUCAUUUUUGUGCUCAUAUUAUUUUUUUUAGUCGCGUUAUUUUAUUUAUUAUCCCAUCAUGCAUAUAAAUACCAUAUUUCAAAAAAAAAAAAAGAAUGUUUUAAAUUGAGGCAAUAUUUAGCAUUUGGAAAUUCGAGAAAACAUGCUCUAAGGUCCUGGGUGUCGAUUUUUCUCGUUCAAAUGGCUUAAUAUCCUUCAUAAAAAUUUCAAAAUAAGGUAAUAUUUUACGUUUGGAAAUUCGAGGAACGUGCCCUAAGGUGCUGGGUUUCGAUUUCUCGUUUAACCAAAUUGCCAAGUUUCCUCUUGAAUUUUAAUCCAUGCCAUUCGAGUUUUUUUUUAAGGAUUGUACUUUAAAUUUCUUUAAAGUUUUCAAUCUUCGACACUAAGACAUUAAGUAAUCAACUAGGUACCAAUUUUGGGCGUAUCGAGGGUGCUAAUCCUUCCUCGUGCGUAAUCGACUCCCGAACCCAUUUUCUGAGUUUCGUGGACCAAACUUGUUGUUUUAAUAAAAUCAAACCUUUUAUUAAAAACAACCACUUUUCGAGGUGAUCCAAUCACAUCUUAUAAAAAAAGAUUGGUGGCGACUCCCGUUUUCGUUUUCAUUUUCAAAAACCCAAGUCGACCCCGUUUUCCAUCCAAAAAAAAUGGUGUCAACAGCUUGGCGGCUCCACUGGGGACUUCAAAAAAUAAGAGAGUCAAGCCACGUGUUGAUCAUUUCUUGUGUUUUUGUCAAAAUUUGAAAAUGUGAUUUAAAUAUACGAUCCUCUCAUUGCAUUGGUUUUGAGUUAUAGUUUUCAUCACGUUUUGUAUUCUAAACUUUAGUAUCUUUCUGCACAUUGCAUUACAUGACCGUUGAUCACACCUUUUAAGUGGGAGUGAGAAGCUCUUUCCUUCGUGAGGUUUUCACCUUCGUGCAGGAUAGUGGAUCGCUUUCGGGAUAUAUCCGUACCUAUGUCUUCGUGAGAUUUUCAUCUCCGUGCAGCCAUAGGGAAAUGUGUUCCCCUGAACCGAACUCGGUCUAUAUGAGCCUAUAAUGGGUGAAGAUCGAGGAAUCUGCUGGUUCGGGUACCUUAUCUUUAGAACCAAACCACAUAUAGUGAACCCUAGGAACCCAGCCUAGAUAGAACUACUUCAAAUAGGUGCUUUAUUAUUUCUUGCUUGUCUCGGAUUUUUAAUUUUGAUACUAACUUAUUUUGUUUUGAUUGCAUGGCAUUUUAUCUGCAUGGCAUUUCAUUGUAAAAGGCGUUGAUUCACAUUCGAUUACUAGAUAGAAAAGCCAAUCAUGGAAAGUGAAUUUCUUAGCAAGGUGGAAGAUAAUGCGGUUAUCCGAAUAUGGUCAGAAAAGUCGCAACUCGAGAAAGGUGAUAGUCUAACAAUGGGGUUUGCAUCAGAGUUAUGGGUUUACACCAGCAUCAAUGUGACUCAGAACAAUCUUCAGGAGUUGAAAGAAAUUUGGGCUCAAUGGGAGGAUGAAGUCAAACAAUUGUUUUACUAUAAUUAUGGUGAUUUACCCUACUUGCUUGACAUCAAUGUAGAUGAACAUUUAUUUCGAGCUUUGGCCUAAUUUUGGAAUUCCGCAUAUAGCUGCUUCACAUUUGGGGAGGUAGACAUGGUGCCUACUGUGGAGGAGUAUACAACUUUACUUCGUUGUCCAAGAAUCCAAGUGGAUAAAGUUUAUUCUAGAACUGCUAAUGUUUCGACUUUUACAAAGAAGUUAACGAGAAUUACCGGAAUGAGUGAGCAAUGGGUCACCGCAUGAAUCAAACAAAAGGGAGAAAAUAGAUGUAUCCCUUGGAGAAGUUUGCGAGAUCAGAUUUUGGCACACCCGGAUAUGAAGAAAAAGGUUGAUGUUUUUGCUUUGAGUAUGUAUGGGCUGGUUAUUUUUCCUAAAGCGUUGGGGCAUAUAGACGAAGCUGUUACAGAUUUGUUUGAUCAACUUGAUAGGAGGGUCACACCCGUUCCAACAAUUUUGGCCGAAACGUUUAGGUCUUUAAGUGCAUGUCGAAGAACGGGGGAGGGAAGAUUCGUUGGUUGUGUACAACUUCUGUUGGUUUGGUUUCACAGCCACUUCUAGAAGGUGGAUAAGAUUUCUUAUCAAGUUUUCUCAGAAAAUUACUCGUCUUUGAAGGAAUUGGCAGCAACACCAAGACGUAAUGACAUCACGGAGGAAAAGUAGAUGACAAUCCUUCAUAAUCUACGAGACGAAGAUGUUGAAUAGAGAGCUUCUUGGAUGGUGCCCGAUGAGAUUUUGUACCGAUGUGGGGACUUUGACUGGGUCCCUUUGCUUGGAAUUUGGGGAGCUGUCGGAUAUGCCCCUUUUGCUCGUGUUAAGGCAAUAUAAGUCAAGGCAGUUCAUACCGGCAACGUAAGGGCUAGCCGAGUGUGAGUUUUCCUAUAAAGGUAAUAACUACAAGGGAAAGAUCCGAGAGAUGUCUAACGCUUGGAAACGAAUUCACCGGAUGAAAAGAAUUACCGUAGGAGCAACGACAACUCCCGAAUAUCACGGGUGGCGGAGUAAGAGGAUCGACGAUAACAUCCCAAAACCAAGAGAAGAAUGUGGUCGUCCUAUAGAAGAGCAUUUACGAAUAGUCCCUUCAGAACUAGAGAUCAUCAAGCAAGACCUCGAAAAAAAAAGUUCAGAGUUUGGAAAGAGGAUAGAACAGCUGAAAGAGGAAAAGAUGCGUUUGGGACUAGAUGUUGAUAUCCACAAGUUGGAAGCUGAAAAGUUAAGAAAAGGGAAAAAUAAGGCUGAAGAGGAUUUAGAUAGUUUAAAAACAGAUUAUAAGAGGCUACGAUUGUCAAUGCGAACUGUGGGUUUGGGGAAAACAUCGGAACAAUAGAAACAGGAGAUCGAGGAAGAAAGGACCAAAGCUGAUCAGUUGGAAAAGAAAUUUCAAGGUGCCCGAGCUCGAGAAAGCGCAUUGGAAAAAAGUUUAUUAGAAUUCUAAAAUGAAGAAGCAAGAUUGAAAGAUCGGGUAGCGGAGUUAGAAAGGUCGCUUCACUUGUGCCAUAGUCGCAACUCUGUGAUCGAGCUAAAAGCAAGUUUGAAUAACAUCGAAGAAUUGAAGAAAAAAAUAAGAGAACUUGAAGAUGCACUGCAAAACUCUGAAUCGCGAGAGGAACUUCUUGAAAGGCGUAACGAACAAUGCCAAGAGCAGCUCCUCCAUUCUCAAAAUCAGAUUAGAGAUAGGGAUUACGUGAUGGGUGAAGCUAUAUCUCAAAUUCGGGAAGGAGCUGAUCAUUUGCAAACUUUAGCAGUUUAGGCCGAUGUAUUGAGUUUGAAAUAUGAAUUGGAAUCAAGUCGGGGUCGAGAGUUAGCUUGGCUCCUUAGGAGAGUUAAGGCUUUGAGCAUAAAGGCAAAGCCGUAUAUGUAAUCCACUUUAUGUAAAAGAAAUUUGUUUUCUAGUUGAGUUUUUCUAAUGAAGUUGAAUUAGAAUCACUGCCUCUUUUUGCAUUCUUUUCAUGCAUUGCAUCACAUCAUAUGCAUUAAUGACCAUUAAAGAACCCUAAUUGAAUAAAAUUAUUUCAGUUAACCUGGAAAACCAACAAGGUUACGGCACUCGAGCUAAGUCAAAAAUUAUGGACCAAAGGCUGGAAAAGCUAGAACGACUUCAAAAGGAAAUGCAAGACCAGUUGCAGGCGCAAAUGAAGGAGCAGAUAGAAAAGAUUCAGCAUGACAUAGAACAAAAGAUGCGGGAGUCUCAAAACGAUCUGAUAACUAAGAUGACACAAUUAUUGAAGAGAGUAGAUAAGGGGAAAGGACCUGUGAUUGUUAAUGAGGAAGAAAACAAUAGCGAACCACUUUAUCCUCCAGGUUUCACGCCUCCGCACGCGCAGGUUCAAACUGAGCUGCAUCCACGAAGACCCUCUGUGUUGGUUAGGCCUCAGCAGUUCCAAGGCGAUGCUUCCAUACCAAUGAAUUUUCAACCCGGGGCGGGUUCUGAUCCUGGAGAUAGCCUGAAUAAUAUUGCUAUCCCAGAUCUUGACGAGAUGGCCGAAAAGGACAAGGCGAAGGAGGAGCUUCCAAAACAACUUGAGGAGAAAUGGAAAUGGAUAGAAGAGAAGUUUAGGGCAAUAGAAAGCAUUGAAAGCUAUCAUGGGAUAGACGCAAAAGACCUGAGCUUGGUUCCAGACUUGGUGCUACCUUACAAAUUUAGAAUGCCGGAAUUUGAGAAAUAUAACGGGACCAGUUGCCCAGAAGGCCAUAUUACUAUGUUUUGCAGAAGAAUGACGGGGUAUAUUAAUAAUGAUCAAUUAUUAAUACAUUGCUUUCAGGAAAGCCUUACAGGAGCGGUGUCAAAGUGGUAUAAUCAGCUGAGCAGAACAAAAAUUACUACUUGGAAAGAUUUGGCACAGGCUUUCAUGAGACAAUACGAUCAUGUCUCGGAAAUGAUGCCUGACAGGAUAACUCUGCAGAAUUUAGAAAAAAAAUCGAACGAAAGCUUCAGACAGUACGCGCAGAGGUGGAGAGAGGUGGCGGUUCAGGUACAACCACCGCUUUUAGAAAAAGAGAUGACGACACUUUUUAUUAAUACAUUGAAGGCCCCAUUCAUUACUCACAUGUUGGGAAGCGCUUCAAAGAAUUUCUCGGAUAUAAUCAUGAAUGGUGAAAUGAUUAAGCAUGCCAUUAAAAGUGGAAGAAUAGAUGGAGGGGAAAAUAAUAGAAGGGCAGCCCCCAGGAAAAGAGAAAAUGAAGUGAAUAAUGUGAAUGCCUACGGUAGGUCAAUUACUGUGAAUCAGCCAAAGAAAGCGGUUGCUAAUCAACCGGGAUCGUCAAGACAAGAAUCGAGAGCUAGGCAAACUACUGAAAAGCCCCAAUUCACGCCAAUCCCAAUGUCAUACAAGGAAAUUGUAUCAGACUUUAUUCAAUGCACAUGUUGUUGCUCCUCGUUACUUGAGUCCUCUACAACCCCCGUAUCCAAAAUGGUAUGACACGAAUGCACAAUGUGAUUAUCACGCGGGAAUUUCAGGGCACUCAAUAGAAAAUUAUACAACUUUCAAGAAAGUAGUGGAAGGACUUAUCAAAUUAGGUGUUGUUAAACUUGACGACUCACCUAACUCAAAAAAUCCGUUACCUAAUCACGCUGAUAAGGGGGUGAAUAUGGUGCGCGAAGGUACAAGAAGAGAAGUCAAGUCUGACAUUGCUGAAGUAAAAACUCCGUUGAAACGGGUCUGGAAAGAGAUGGCAAAGAGAGGGUUAGUUAUUUCAAAUUUUGAGGAAGGGUACGAGCUGGAAAAUUUUUGUGAAUUCCACCAUAAAACAGGGAACAAAAUCCAAGAAUGUGAAGGAUUCAGGGCUUUGGUUCAAAGCAUGAUGGAUAACAAAGAGAUGACGUUUUAUGAAGAGGCGGAAGAAAGGAGGAGCAUAUGCGCAACAAAGUCAGGAACAGGAACUCCGAAAAUAAAUCAUCCUGUGGUCGUUAUCUCACGCCCUAAGGGUAAUGAAACUAGGGCUCAGGUAACACCGAAAGUUGUAAUUCAAAAACCAUCAAAUUUCUUGUAUAAGGAUAGCAAAAUGGUGCCAUGGAAUUAUUGGUGCAAUGUGACCAUCUUGGAAAAAAAAGCGGAAGAAAGCCAGGAAAUAGGUUCUUACACACGCAAUAGGAAACGAUAUGACACUCAAGCAGAGUCAUCCAAGGAAGAGAAUUGGAAGAAAGAACAAAGGAAAAGAAAAGCAGCAGGAGUUGAGCCAUUGGUUAAUGAACCAAUAAAAGAAGAUGAGGCAAAAGAGUUUUUGAAGUUUCUGAAGCACAGUGAAUACAGUGUUGUGGAGCAACUGCACAAACAGCCAGCCCACAUUUCUGUAUUAGCUUUACUUCUAAGCUCAGAAAUACAUCGGAAUGCGCUUCUGAAGGUACUAAACGAAACAUAUGUGGCCGACGAUAUAUCGAUAAACAAGCUAGAUCGUUUGAUCAACAACAUAGGCGCUGACAAUUUUAUCUUCUUCAAUGAUGACGAAAUACUAUCCGGAGGAAGGGGUUCUACUAAAGCCCUGCACGUUACUCCGAUGCAAAGGAUACACACUCCCAGGAGCCCUGGUUGAUAAUGGAUCUGCACUGAAUGUAUUGCCUCUAUCCACUCUUGGUCGAUUACCGGUGGACAGUUCGCACAUGAAAGCAUGCCAGAGUAUAGUAAGGGCAUUUGAUGGAACGGAAAAGAAGGUUAUGGGGUGAAUUGAGGUACCGUUAAGGAUUGGCCCAAUCACUUAUGAUGUGGACUUCUUGGUAAUGGAUAUUAGGCCUUCCUACAAAUGUUUAUUGGGAAGACCGUGGAUACACUCAUCGGGGGCAGUACCUUCAUCAUUACAUCAGAAGGUGAAGUUGGUAUCGGAGGGUCGGUUGGUAACAAUAGAUGCAGAUGAAGAUAUUAUCGCAAUGAUGACCAGUGAUGCACCUUAUGUGGACAUCAACGAUGAUGCACUGGAAUGUUCUUUUCGGUCGUUAGAAUUUGUGAACGCGAUGUUUAUUGCGGAGGGAAGCAGAAUUCCAAUAUCAAAAAUAUCCAGGACCACCGAAAUGGGGUUGCGAAAUAAUGGUAGGAAGAGGAGCCGCACCAGGGAAAGGACUGGGAAAAUAUCUUCAGGGAAGGAUUGGAGCUCCAAUGUUGAAGGAAAAGUUCGAUAGUUUUGGCUUAGGAUACAAGCCAGACAUGAAGCAGAAAAAGAAAGAAAUAGAGAAGAGACAAGAGAAAAGAAGGGCACGUUUGAGCGGAUAUGAAGCUAAGUGGGAGCCUUUAACCUUUCCCCACAUAUCUACAUCCUUUGUGUCGGGAGGAUUUAUUCAUUCUGAGUGCGGAGUGUCCGGUAGCAAAGGCAUUGAAAGAAUGUUGGAAAAUGUUCAUAUCAACACUGUGGAAGCAGUAGAAAAAAGGGCCUUGUUGGAGAUCCGCCCUUAUGAGCCGGGGAGCGAGCUAAACAAUUGGACUGCUGAAGAAAUCCCUGUAGUCUUUAGGGCUUAUUCAGAGUAAUGCUCAAAACAUUCCUGUUGUUUUGGCCUAGGAACGAUAUGAAAUCUUUUGUGAAAUAGGCUUUGGGCCUAAAUAUCAUCAUUUUAAUGAAAUACAUAUCUACAUUCAUCUCGAUCAGUCACUUUUUUCCUUUACAUAUAAAUAAAUACUUUCCAUUUGAUUAAUUGUCUUAUAAAUAAUUCUUUCAUUUGUAACUCUUUUGCACAAAUAUUCAUUCAUAAAUUUAUAUAUUCUUGGUAUACUCUUUGGUAUGCCUUCAUAGGUCUUCAGAUAUCAACGACAUAAGUGAUGCUGCUUCAAACACGGAGCCUAUUUUUGAGCAAGAAAUGUGUUUGGAGGGAUCUCACGACUUUGAAAAUGACGAAGAUUAUGGUGUGUCUCCGGACUUGCUAAGAAUGGUGGAAGAAGAAGAUAAACAUAUCCUACCUCAUGGGGAAUUAUUAGAAAUCAUGAGCCUAGAGGAUGGAAAAGAGGUGAAAAUUGGCACUGAAAUCACUGCAAAGACAAAACAAGACCUCAUUAAUUUGCUCCGAAAGUUCAAAGAUAUUUUCGCGUGGUCGUACCAAGAUAUGCCCGGGCUAAGCACUAACAUUGUUGUGCCUCGUCUACCCAUAAAAGAAGAUUGUAAACCCGUUCAGCAGAAGCUCAGGAGAAUGAGACCUGAUAUUGUGUUGAAAAUAAAAGAAGAACUCAAAAGGCAAUUCGACGCUGGAUUCUUACAAGAGGUCAAGUAUUCGGAUUGGGUAGCAAACAUCAUCCCUGUUCCCAAAAAAGAUAGAAAGGUACGAAUGUGUAUGGAUUAUAGGGAUUUGAACAAGGCGAGUCCAAAAUAUAAUUUUCCACUGCCUCACAUUGAUACCUUGGUAGAUAACACGGCGGGCUAUUCAUUGUUUUCUUUCAUGGAUGGCUUCUCCGGGUACAAUCAAAUAAAUAUGCAUCAUGAAGACAUGAGGAAAACCACAUUCAUUACCUUAUGGGGAACAUUUUGUUACAAGGUAAUGCCCUUCGGAUUGAAAAAUGCGGGAGCAACAUAUCAAAGAGCUAUGGUGACUUUGUUUCACGAUAUGAUGCACAAGGAGAUCGAAGUCUAUGUGGAUGAUAUGAUUGCGAAGUCUAGAACGGAAGAAGAGCACGUUCAAGUCUUGAAAAAGUUAUUUUUGAGAUUGAGGAAAUUUCAGCUCAAGCUUAACCCGGUAAAAUGCACAUUUGGAGCCAGAUCAGGGAAGUUAUUAGGCUUCAUAGUUAGCAAAAAAGGGAUUGAGGUUGACCCAGACAAAGUAAAAGCAAUACGAGAUUUACCUCCCUCGCGCACGUAGAAGGAAGUUCGAGGUUUCCUAGGGAGAUUGAAUUACAUUUCUCGAUUCAUCUCACAACUGACGGAGAAAUGUGAUCCGGUAUUCCGUCUCUUAAAGAAGCAUAAUCCGGGUGAAUGGGAUGAAGAAUGCCAGAGAGCUUUCGAUAAGAUAAAGCAGUACUUGGUUAAUACUCCAGUCUUAUCGCCACCAAGUCCAGAUAGGCCAUUUAUAUUAUAUCUAACAGUGUUGGAGAAUUCCAUGGGAUGCGUAUUAGGCCAACAUGAUGAGACGGGAAAGAAAGAAAAGGCAAUAUACUAUCUCAGCAAGAAAUUUACUGAUUGCGAAAUGAGAUACUCAUCAGUUGAAAAGUUGUGUUGCGCUUUAAUCUGGGCAACCCGAAGACUAAGGCAGUAUAUGUUGUAUCAUACGACUUGGCUGAUUUCAAAGUUGGAUCCUUUAAAGUAUAUGAUGGAAUCUACUGCUUUAAACGGGAGAAUGGCUAGAUGGCAGAUCCUGCUCUCGGAAUUUGACAUAGUAUAUGUAAGUCAGAAGGCCAUAAAGGGAAGUACGAUAGCUGACUUCUUAGCUAGUAGAGCCUUGGAAGACUACGAGUAUUUGAACUUCGACUUUCCAAAUGAGGACUUGAAGUAUGUGGCGAACACUGAAGAGAAUCCUCAAAUGGGUAGCGUAUGAAGGUUAAAUUUUGAUGGAGCUUCGAAUGCUACGGGUAAUGGAAUUGGGGCAAUCUUGGUAUCCUCAAAUGGAGAUCAUUAUCCUGUUGCUAGCAAGUUGGACUUCGAUUGUACUAAUAAUAUGGCAGAAUAUGAAGCAUGUAUUAUGGGCAUUUGUGCAGCCAUUGAACGAAACAUCAAAGUGCUAAGAGUAUAUGGGGAUUCUGCAUUGGUGAUAUACCAACUAAAAGGGGAAUGGGAAACUAGGGACCCUAAGCUAAUUGAUUAUAGAAAACUAGUUCUCAAAUUGGCUGGUGAGUUUGAUGAUAUCACCUUCUGUUAUCUCCCACGAGAGGAAAACCAAAUGGCUGACGCAUUAGCUACUCUAGCUUCGAUGAUUCAGGUGAAUAGACUCGAGGCAAUGAGGCCUAUUCAGAUGAGUAUCUAUGAGACCCCAGCUCAUUGCUGCAAUAUUGAAGAGGAGGGAAAAGAUGAUUGUCCUUGGUAUCAGAAUAUCCUACAGUACGUGAAGGAUCGGGAGUACCCCAAUCAAGCGACAGAGAAUGACAAAAGAACUCUGAGAAGAAUAGCCAUCGACUAUGUCCUAGAUGGGGAAGUGUUAUACAAAAGAAGGAAGGAUCAAGUAUUGUUAAGAUGUGUGGAUGCCGUGGAAGCCAAAAAAAUAUUGGAGGAAGUACAUGAGGGUAUUUGUGGGACGCACGCCAAUGGUUUUAUGAUGGCCAGACAAAUCAUGAGAUUUGGGUACUAUUGGCCCACCCUGGAAGGAGAUUGCAUAGAUUACGCCAAGAAAUGCCACAAAUGCCAAAUUUACAGAGACAAAAUACAUGCGCCUCCUUCACCUCUUCACGUCAUGACCUCUCCUUGGCUGUUUUCCAUGUGGGGUAUGGAUGUUAUUGGGCCAAUAUCACCAAAGGCUUCUAAUGGGCAUCGCUUCAUCUUUGUGGUUAUUGAUUACUUUACCAAAUGGGUAGAGGCUGCUUCAUACGCAAAUGUCACGAAGUCAGCAGUUAGCAAAUUCUUGAAGAAAGAGAUUAUUUGUCGAUAUGGAAUGCCUGAGAAAAUUAUAUCCGACAAUGCGUUAAAUUUGAAUAAUAGCACAAUAGCUGAGGUUUGCAGCCAAUUUAAAAUCAAACAUCAUAACUCAUCGCCAUAUCGUCCAAAAAUGAAUGGUGCAGUGGAGGCGGCUAAUAAGAACAUCAAAAGGAUCAUGGGGAAAAUGACUGAAACUUACAAGGAUUGGCAUUAGAAGUUAUCAUUUGCUCUCCUUGCCUAUCGAACAUCUGUUAGAACUUCUACCGGAGCAACACCUUUUUCUCUGGUAUAUGGAAUGGAGGCGAUAUUACCCAUUGAAGUUGAAAUCCCCUCUCUACGGGUACUAUCUGAUCUACAGUUGGACGAAGUCGAUUGGGUCCAAUCUCGGUACGAUCAGUUGAACCUAAUAGAAGAAAAGAGGCUUAGAGCUAUUCGUCAUGGGCAAAUGUACCAGAAACGAAUGAUGCGAGCCUAUAAUAAAAAGGUUUGCCCCAGAGAGUUUCGUGAAGGAGACUUGGUGCUAAAAAAGAUUCUCCCCGUGCAAAAGGAUUCGAGAGGAAAAUGGAUGCCAAAUUGGGAAGGUCCCUAUGUUGUAAAGAAGGCAUUUUCCGGUGGGGCUUUAAUCCUAUGUGAGAUGGAUGGCAAAAGUUUGCCAAACCCUGUAAACGCAGACUCCGUCAAGAAAUAUUUCACUUGAAAGAAAAGAGAACCAAAGUGAAAACCCGCAAAGGGCGCUUUGCUUCCAAAAAAAAAAAACUUUGGAGAGGCCAGGGUAAAAACCCGUAAAGGGCACCUUGAGGCCAAAGGGGGCUUAAGUCGAAAACCCGGAAAGGGUAGCUCAAGUAUUGAUCGAGUUGGGGCAUAAGGUGAUUUGAGCAUAUCAAAUUCUGAUAAGGGGCAUGUGAAGAUCUUGCUUUACCCGAACCAACAAGAAAUGAUAUGCGACGUCUUGGAUCAUUGACAGAGUAUUGCAGAUCUCCUAAACACAUGUCAAACUCCGAAUGGUCUUCAGAAAGUUUGUACAGAGAAAUUCAAGCUGCGAUAACUGGGGCACCUAGUUCUUAUUCUAUUUAUAUGUAUAUUCUUGAAAAUAUGUUUUUCUUUUUGCUAAGAUACACAUUCUCAAUCCACUUCUUUGUCGUCUUUCUUUCACUAUCUUCGAUGUUUUAUUUCUUUUUGAUUUAUGAUCAGAACCAGCUUUAUUCUUAUCCAUUGUUAUGACCUUUUUGCAAAUAUGUUGUAUGGACUAAUAAAACUUUCACAAAGGAAGUUUUACACAUUACUCUGGAAAGUUUCUAAAUAAUAAAGGAGCCUGAAGCAGGACUAUUGUUUAGAACGCACCAAAUUUAAAGGUUGGAAAUUUGGGAAGGAAUAGUCUAAAUUUAGAUUUUCUCUUUGGAUUUUUGUUGUCAAAUGCGUUGAUUGACAAAACGCCAUGUUGGUGACAAAGCUUACACAAACAAGCAAGCAAUGACCAUCAGGCAAUAGGAAGAGGUUACCUUAGAGAAGAGAGCCUUCAUUUGCACAUGAAUACGACACCUUGAGAAUGGUGUAAGAAACCAGAACGAUUUAGAUCCUGUAUCCUUGAUUUCUGAUAAGAUAGGAUUGAGAUGAAAGCCGCAUAUUUUUACCAUUGGAUUGCAGUGGGAUAAUGAUGGCACAAAUUGUGCGCCCAAAUGGAUUAAACUUUGAGGUUUACAGUAGGGACAACUUGGCUAAAUGUUUUAUCAGAAAAGCCAGUCAAGCAAAAAGGGUGCUGUAACACGUCGGUCACAAAGCUUUAAUAAACUUCGAGUAAUGACAACCUAAGCGAGAUCAUUCUCGGAAAUAUAAAAUUCUGCAUUCAUGCAAACACCAUUCACACAUAUCUAGUUAGGAGCAUUUGAUUCAUUUUUUAUCGUGCCAUCCUAAUCAUUAGGCAUAAUUAGGUUCAUUAUACAGGCCAUGUUCCCUAGAAAACAGACCGGUGAAUAUUAGAGAUCUUAUCUCCCUGAGAUUACGGUGGAGCAGAUCGUAUCAAGUCUUAUCUCCCUGAGACUACAGAGGAGCAGAUCGGAGCCACAAACCUUAUCUCCCUGAAGUUACAGUGGGGCAGGUUGAAUAUACAAGUCUUAUCUCCCUGAGGUUACAGUGGAGUAGACCGAAGAAUUUCAGGUCUUAUCUCCCUGAGGUUACAGUGGAGCAGAUUGAAGCCAGAAAUCUUAUCUUCCUGAGUUCACAGCGGAGCAGAUCGAAGACACUAUCCUAUCUCCCUGAAGUUACAGUGGAGUGGAUCUUAUCUCUCUGAAGUUACAGCAGAGUAGAUCGCAUCAGGUCUUAUCUCCCUGAGGUUACGGUGGAGUAGACCGAAGAAUUUCAGAUCUUAUCUCCCUGAGGUUAUAGUGGAGCAGAUUGAAGCCAGGGAUCUUAUCUCCCUGAGAUUACAGCAGAGUAGAUCGAAGACACUAUCCUAUCUCCCUGAAGUUACAGUGGAGCGGAUUAAAACAAAGAUAUUAUCUCUCUGAAGAUGUAGUAGAGCAGAUUGCAUCCAGUCUUAUCUCCCUGAAGUUACAGUGGAACAGACUAAAACCACAAACAUCGUCCCCCAGAAGUUGCGGCAAAGAAAAUUAAAGCUACAAGUCAGAUCUUUUUGAAAUGCAGUGGAGUGGAUUGAAGCAACAAGACACAAUGGACUGGAACGGAGUUAUUUGAAGAAAAGAAAUAGUAGAAGAAGUCAAGACUCGGUGAGACCGGGCAAAAUUGGCCUUUUUGAAGUCUUUGCUCUGUUCUCGUUACACGACAACGAGCAAAGAGGGGCAGCUGUACGGGCCCAAUUCUACCCUGACCUUAAACACAAAACACACAAUAAUAAACAAAAUUAAAACAAAAUCCGUAGCCCAAAUAAAAACACAACAGAGGCCCAAGAUGGCAAAACCCUAGCCCAAUUCAGCUCACAACCAGCAGCCUCAGUGCGCCGUACGUCUCCUCGCGCAUUUGCAGCGCACUCAACGCCCGAAGCACGACCAGUUUUGCACCAAAAAGGCUAGGUUUAUUCUUCCAAUACCCGUUGACUUCACCAGUACCUGCAAGCAAAGCAAAGAAAGGGGAACAACAGCAGCAACAGUAGCAAUAUUGGACAGAAAUGAUAAAAAUAAAAUAGGAAAUAGAUUUUUAGGAUUAUCUUUUGGCUAUAAAAGCCACCAAAUUCUGUAUUCAAAAAAAAAAGGGGAGCAGAUCAAAAAAAUUGAAAAGGUUGACUCCAAAUUUCUUUCUCUGUUCUUAAUAAUUUUUUUUAUAUAUUCUUCUAUUUUCUGUUUUUUUUACUACUCUUUGAAACUAAAAAAACAAAACGAAAAAGAAAGAAAAGGGACACUUACCGGUCUCGAAAGCCCGUCGCCGGAGACCAUCUUCGGUGUUGGAAUCGGACCGAGAAGGAGACGAAAAGUCUCUCAUUGUUUCGGCUUGUUUGGUCUGGAGGACCGGGCCUUAAGGUGGAGGUCGAGAACGGGGUUAAAAAGCCCUCCUUUUCUCGCUCCGACCACCGCUCGUGAAGGAGCUUUGGCCUUUGGAACCGCCGCUCGCUGGCGUGGGCCAUGUUUGGCUGCUGGGAACCUUGAAAGGGAGAGGAUAGGUUCAGUUUUUUUCUUUAAAACACUGAUAAAAUGAAGUUAUAAU
This 14827-nucleotide long non-coding RNA is filed under the name Gossypium barbadense (sea-island cotton). RNAcentral's name for it is "long non-coding RNA (GBAR_LNC015827)". The record is from RNAcentral. Lineage: Eukaryota; Viridiplantae; Streptophyta; Magnoliopsida; Malvales; Malvaceae.